GAUGAAGAACGCAGCGAAAUGCGAUAAGUAAUGUGAAUUGCAGAAUUCAGUGAAUCAUCGAAUCUUUGAACGCACAUUGCGCCCGCUGGUAUUCCGGCGGGCAUGCCUGUUCGAGCGUCAUUUCAACCCUCAAGCUCUCCGGAGUUUGGUGUUGGGGCGCCUGGGGCUUUUCGACCUCAGGGCCCUCAAGUCCAUCGGCGGGACCGCCAGGACACUGAGCGCAGUAGUAUUAUUUCGCUCGGUAGGAUCUUCCACGGCGGGUCGAUCUGGCCGCUAAACCCCCCAAUUCUCACCAAAGGUUGACCUCGGAUCAGGUAGGAAUACCCGCUGAGCUUAAGCAUAUCAAUAAGCGGAGGA
This 357-nucleotide unclassified non-coding RNA is filed under the name soil metagenome. RNAcentral describes it as "partial contains 5.8S ribosomal RNA, internal transcribed spacer 2, and large subunit ribosomal RNA". The stretch from base 1 to 120 matches the Rfam family "5.8S ribosomal RNA", at positions 35 to 154 of the family's 154-position model. The record is from RNAcentral.